CUCCUGCAGUGCUCGGCCAAGCUCAGCCCUUGUUCAGCACACCAGCCCUGUGAGUCACACUGUCCCUGGAGGGACUGAGGAAUGUCCAGGGGUUGGUAGUGGCACAAAGGAUGGAGCCACUGAAACGCGGUGGGUGGACACAGGAAGAGGACGGCCGCACAGCGAGGCCACGCCUGGCCUGGCUCGGAGGAUGCGAGGAGGAUUCUCCAGCAGGCAGGCAUGGUUAGGUGAGAAGGUCAAUCUGGCCCUGCGGGUUAUGCUGCCGGUUACAUGAGAACCUCGUCGGCAUGAAGAGGCCAGGCAGGUCCUCCGACAGUGCCACAGCCCCAGGCUUGUGCAGCUAAAUCACGGAGGCCUUCCAGGCCCUGAACAGGAACCGGACGGGGCCCGAAUGACACUGCUGGGGGGCCGCUCUCUGGAUGCCAUUGUGGCCGGGUACCGGGAUGGUCGGCUGCUUGAUUCCAUGACUUAAAGCUAGAUUUGGCCUUUUAAGCCUCUGUCUCAGUGCCCUUGGGUCCCUUCUGCGGCUCACCUACCUGUCUCUCGGUCUCUGGGGUGGGCUGGCAGGGUUCAUUCUGGGACCUAGGUGGUGUGGCAGCAGUGGCUGUCAUGGUGCAGAGCCGGCUUCUCGGAGUGCCUGGUCUGGGGAUCCCCAGGGAAGGCACUGAAGCUGUCUCCUUGGCUCCCGGGC
RNAcentral lists this long non-coding RNA (691 nucleotides) under Homo sapiens (human). RNAcentral describes it as "HSALNT0198685". The record is from RNAcentral. Lineage: Eukaryota; Metazoa; Chordata; Mammalia; Primates; Hominidae.